GACGAACGCUGGCGGCGUGCUUAACACAUGCAAGUCGAACGGAAAGGCCCUGCUUGCAGGGUACUCGAGUGGCGAACGGGUGAGUAACACGUGGGUGAUCUGCCCUGCACUUCGGGAUAAGCCUGGGAAACUGGGUCUAAUACCGGAUAGGAGCCAUUUUUAGUGUGAUGGUUGGAAAGUUUUUUCGGUGUAGGAUGAGCUCGCGGCCUAUCAGCUUGUUGGUGAGGUAUGGCCUACCAAGGCGGCGACGGGUAGCCGGCCUGAGAGGGUGGACGGCCACAUUGGGACUGAGAUACGGCCCAGACUCCUACGGGAGGCAGAAGUGGGGAAUAUUGCACAAUGGGCGCAAGCCUGAUGCAGCGACGCCGCGUGGGGGAUAACGGCCUUCGGGUUGUAAACUCCUUUCGCUAGGGACGAAGCUUUUUGUGACGGUACCUAGAUAAGAAGCACCGGCUAACUACGU
RNAcentral lists this ribosomal RNA (463 nucleotides) under uncultured bacterium. RNAcentral describes it as "partial 16S ribosomal RNA". It matches the Rfam family "Bacterial small subunit ribosomal RNA", at positions 28 to 506 of the family's 1533-position model. The record is from RNAcentral.